CUCACAUCUGAUAGAAUGAAACUUUCUCAUCUUUGUUGCCUUCUUUCUUAUGGAAAAACCAACUGCUAGACAUUGUCAAAGUCACUUUCAAUUCUGGCAUCAUUGAAAUUUCACUGCAAUUUUUACUAUUGAAGGUUGGAGUUACUACCUUGAUCCAAUUCUUCUACAUAUAAUUUUCAAUACUGUUAAAACUACCAAGCAAAAUAGGCGAAAAGAUAAUGUUUGCGGUCAAUGUUUACACAACUGAUGAACUUUUAUUUCUUAAGGAAGUAGGGCAACGAACAGAUGCUGGUCAAGCUUUUUGUUAAAGAAGGUUUGAGAUCCGGAUCGGAACUGAAUAUUCCAGAUAUUAUUUAUUUGUUGUUUCAUCAUUAGUUCUGCCAUGUAUUAUUGAUUCCAUGUUCUGUUUCUUUUAUGGCUUUGUCUUUGAUGAAUGUAAUUUUAAAAUGACUGACCAUGAUCGGUUUUGUUCUAAUGUACCAUAAAGUCGAAAAAAAAGUUCUCUGAUUCUUCCUUUGAUGGAGAAUUUUAGGAUGCUAAUGUAUAUAAGAUCAUCUUCC
This 560-nucleotide long non-coding RNA is filed under the name Capsicum annuum. RNAcentral's name for it is "long non-coding RNA (CANN_LNC010651)". The record is from RNAcentral. Lineage: Eukaryota; Viridiplantae; Streptophyta; Magnoliopsida; Solanales; Solanaceae.